Molecule: RNA transcript, 4397 nt
Organism: Nycticebus coucang (slow loris)
Lineage: Eukaryota; Metazoa; Chordata; Mammalia; Primates; Lorisidae
Gene: SLC4A9
Gene name: solute carrier family 4 member 9
Exons: 24
Source: RefSeq, a predicted model, not a curated record
CUGAUUCUAUCAAAGCCUCACCAAGAUGAAGCUGCCAGGCCAGGAGGAGUUUGAAGCUUCUAGUGCUCAUGAAAAUGUUCCUGCAGGGGAGGUGGACAGUGGCCUUGGCCCUGGCCUCAGCCCUGAUGGCCCUUCAGUCACAGACAGCAGGGACCUAGGGGUACAGGAGGACCCGCUGCUCUUUAUUCAGCUUAAUGAAAUGCUGGGUUGGCCCCAGGCACUGGAAUGGAGAGAGACAAGCAGGUGGGUACUAUUUGAGGAGAAGUUGGAGGUGGGCGCAGGCCGGUGGAGUGCCCCCCACGUGCCUACUGUGACUCUGGCCAGCAUCCAGAAGCUCCGCAGCCUGUUAGCUGAGGGCCUGGUGCUGCUGGACUGUCCAGCUCAGAGCCUCCUGGAGCUUGUGGAGCAGGUUACCAGGGUGGAGUCGCUGAGCCCAGAGCUGAGAGGGCAGCUGCAGGCCAUACUGCUGCAGAGACCCCAGCACUAUAUCCAGACCAGAGACACCAGGCCCUGCUGGGGUGAGAGGCUCCCCUCUGGGCCCAAGACCAAGACCCUGGAGUGGGAGGGUCCCAGAUCUCUCCUAUACCUUCCUGGACCUGAAGUGGCCCAGCUUCAGCUCAGGCCUCAAUCUAGGACUGAUGGACAAGAGGAAGUUGGUGGCUCUAUCCAUCGAAGAAAGGCUUCUUAUAGUGAGGAAGCUCCCUUGAAGGAACAGCAUCAGAAUCCCCUGAGACACAGGCUGCCUCCAGGGGCCGAGGCAGGGAAUGUGCUGGCUGGAGAGCUGGGCUUCUUGACACAACCACUGGGGGCCUUUGUUCGACUACGGGAUCCAGUGGUGCUGGGACCCCUUACUGAGGUGCCCCUCCCCAGCAGGUUUUUCUGUCUUCUUCUGGGCCCACCUACAUUGGCAAAGUGCUACCAUGAGAUGGGCCGGGCAGCAGCUGUCCUCCUCAGUGAUCCGCAAUUCCAGUGGUCACUUCGCCGGGCCAACAACCUUCAUGACCUUCUGGCAGCCCUAGAUACUUUCCUAGAGGAGGUAACAGUGCUCCCUCCAGGUCGGUGGGACCCGACAACACGGAUUCCUCCACCCAAAUGUUUGCCCUCUCAGCACAAAAGGCUCCUCAAUCAAACGUGUGAGAGCAAGGGCUUCGCCGCCCCGCACCUGACUCUGGCUGAGGACAGGCACCGCCACGGGCCUCACGCACUCAGCCCGGAGCUUCAGCGGACUGGCAGGCUGUUUGGGGGCCUUGUACAGGACGUGCUCAGGAAGGCUUCGUGGUACCCCAGCGAUUUCUUGGAUGCCCUGCACCCCCAGUGCUUCUCGGCUGUGCUCUACAUUUACCUGGCCACCAUCACUAACGCCAUCACUUUUGGUGGUUUGCUGGGAGAUGCCACCAACGGUGCCCAGGGAGUGCUGGAAAGUUUCCUGGGCACAGCAGUGGCUGGAGCUGCCUUCUGCUUGAUGGCAGGCCAGCCACUCACCAUCCUGAGCAGCACAGGCCCAGUGCUGGUCUUUGAACGCCUGCUCUUCACCUUCAGCAGAGAUUACAGCCUGGACUAUCUGCCUUUCCGCCUGUGGGUUGGCAUCUGGGUGGCUACCUUUUGCCUGGUGCUAGUGGCCACAGAGGCCAGUGUGCUGGUGCGCUACUUCACCCGAUUCACUGAGGAAGGUUUCUGUGCCCUCAUCAGCCUCAUCUUCAUCUAUGAUGCUGUAGGCAAAAUGCUGAAUUUGGCCCAGGCCUAUCCUAUCCAGAGGCCUAGGUCCCCUGCCUAUGGCUGCCUCUGCCAAUACCCAGGCCCAGGAGGAAAUGAGUCUCAAUGGACAAGGACAAGGCCAAAAGAUAGAGAUGAUAUGUUAAUCACGGACCUAGGCCUGAUCAAUGCAUCCUUGCUGCCUCCACCUGAGUGCAUCCGGCUGGGAGGCCGCCCUCAUGGCCCGGGCUGUCAUACAGUCCCAGACAUCACCUUCUUCUCCCUCCUCCUCUUCCUUACCUCCUUCCUCUUUGCCAUGGCCCUCAAGCAUGUAAAGACAAGCCGCUUCUUCCCCUCUGUGGUACGCAAGGUACUCAGUGACUUCUCCUCAGUCCUGGCCAUCCUGCUGGGCUGUGGUCUUGAUGCCUUCCUGGGCCUAGCCACACCAAAGCUCAUGGUACCCAGAGAAUUCAAGCCCACGCUUCCUGGGCGUGGCUGGCUGGUGUCACCUUUUGGAGCCAACCCAUGGUGGUUGAGUGUGGCAGCUGCCCUUCCUGCCUUGCUGCUAUCUAUCCUCAUCUUCAUGGACCAGCAGAUCACAGCAGUAAUCCUCAACCGUGUGGAAUAUAGACUGCGGAAGGGAGCUGGCUUCCAUCUGGAUCUCUUCUGUGUGGCUAUGUUGAUGCUGCUCACAUCAGUGCUUGGGCUGCCCUGGUAUGUCUCAGCCACUGUCAUCUCCCUGGCCCACAUGGAUAGUCUUCGGAGAGAAAGCAGAGCCUAUGCUCCUGGGGAGUCCCCUAGCUUCCUGGGCAUCAGAGAGCAGAGGCUGACCGGCUUGGUGGUGUUCAUUCUUACAGGAGUCUCUAUCUUUCUGGCACCUGUGCUCAAGCUCUCCACAUCUUUCUACCAGUUCAUCCCAAUGCCUGUGCUCUACGGCAUCUUCUUGUACAUGGGGGUGGCAGCAUUGAACAGUAUCCAGUUCAUGAAGAGAGUGCAGCUAUUGCUGAUGCCAGCAAAACAUCAGCCAGACCUGCUGCUCUUGCGGCAUGUACCCCUGAGCAGGGUCCACCUCUUCACAGCCAUCCAGCUUUCCUGCCUGGGUCUGCUUUGGAUAAUCAAGUCUACCCCUGCAGCCAUCAUCUUCCCCCUCAUGUUGUUGGGCCUGGUGGGAAUCCGAAAGGCAUUAGAAUGGAUCUUCUCACCACAGGAACUUGUCUGGCUAGAUGAGCUGAUGGCAGAGGAGGAAAGAAGCAAGCCUGAGAAAGGGGUGGAGCCAAAGUACCCAUUCAGUGACAGUGAUGGUGAAAAUUCAGAGCUAAUCUAUCAGCCAAAGGCUCCGGAAAUCAACAUCUCUGUGAAUUAGCUGAAGUAAGAGUCUGGGAAUGGAGGCCUCAGAAAACUGAGCAUGAGGUGUUUACUCAGGAAGUCAGGACAUUGUUGGCCUUGGGCUUAACUACCUGGGGACCUGGAACAAUCUGGAACAAUGGAGCAGGACAGAAGAGCAGCUGGCCAAGAUCUCAGUUACCUCCUGAGCUGGACAUAGAAAGUGGCAAGGAGAAAUAGAUCCCAUCCAGGAUACCAUAUUACAUUUAGCCUUUUACACAUCUUCCUGGGCUCCUCUUGGCUGUGACAGUUUUUUAGACUUUCCUUGUCUGAAAACAUUUAUAAUUUUGAGAAGCACUGAUCAGAGACAGAGUCUCACUUUACCGCCCUCAGUAGAGUGCCAUGACGUCACAGGACUCACAGCAACCUCCAGCUCUUGGGCUUCCACGAUUCUCCUGCCUCAGCCUCCCGAGCAGCUGGGACUACAGGCGCCCGCCACAACGCCCGGCUAUUUUUUUGUUGCAGUUUGGCCCGGGCUGGAUUUGAACCCGCCACACUUGGUAUAUGGGGCCGGCGCCCUACUCACUGAGCCACUCUCUUAAAUCGGAGAAUGAUGUUAAAAAUUAAGAUGUGAGUGCUAGGUGUGUGUGUUGCUACUGGGGUGCAAUUUUGUUUCUAGUAUCACAUAGCUGAGAGAGCAAGGAAAUAUAUGUGAGCAUACUAACCUAUGUAUAUACACUGUAUCUAUGCAUAUUUCUACAUGUAUCCACUUGUAUCUAUAUUUAGCUAAACAUGAGCUCAUACUUAUGUCUCCAACUCUAAUCCCUUACCACAUGGAUCAUUUCCAGCUUCCUCACUUUGCUUUGCUGUAAUCUCCCACUCAGUGAGAAUUGAGGUUCCUGCCACCUGCCAUCCAUUUACAUAGUUGUUCAAUUGCAACAUAUAUAUAUAUAGUGGCUUCAGAAUUAAUGUAAAUUCCCAUGGGAAACAACUAGAGUACAGUGCUUCUGUUGUCUUUUCUUUCUUUCUUUUUUUUUUUUUUGAGACAGCAUCUCACUUUGUCACCCUGAGUAGAGAGCCGUACCAUCAUAGCUCACAGCAACCUCAAACUCCUGGGCUCAAGUGACCCUCUUGCCUCAGUCUUCCAGGUAGCUAGGACUACAGGUGUGUCACCAUGCCUGGCUAAUUUUGCUAUUUUUGGUAGAGAUGGGGUCUCACUCUUGCUCAGACUGGUCUCAAACUCUUGAGUUCAAGCAAUCCACUUGCCUCAGCCUCCCAGAGUGUUAGGAUGGGCCACUAUGCCUGGCUUGUUUCUUUUGUCUUUAGUCUAACAGCAACUACUCAUUUCCAAAGUUAUGUAGGUCAGUACCUUUCUCCCCUAU